GAAGUGUUAGUAAACCCAUUACAUGGCCUUGUCAAGACCAAAUCACAGGUGAAACCCCUGUACACCUCA
RNAcentral lists this transfer RNA (69 nucleotides) under Sagittarius serpentarius. RNAcentral describes it as "tRNA-Asp". The record is from RNAcentral. Lineage: Eukaryota; Metazoa; Chordata; Aves; Accipitriformes; Sagittariidae.